Molecule: ribosomal RNA, 255 nt
Filed under: uncultured bacterium
Lineage: Bacteria
Description: partial 16S ribosomal RNA
Rfam family: Bacterial small subunit ribosomal RNA
Source: RNAcentral
CCACGCCGUAAACGAUGAGUGCUAGGUGUCGGGGGUCAAACCUCGGUGCCGACGUUAACACAUUAAGCACUCCGCCUGGGGAGUACGUGCGCAAGCAUGAAACUCAAAGGAAUUGACGGGGACCCGCACAAGCAGCGGAGCAUGUGGUUUAAUUCGAUGCAACGCGAAGAACCUUACCAGGGCUUGACAUAUAUAUGAAGAUCUUAGAGAUAAGAUUGUUUCUUCGGAACAUAUAUACAGGUGGUGCAUGGUUGU